Molecule: ribosomal RNA, 497 nt
Filed under: uncultured bacterium
Lineage: Bacteria
Description: partial 16S ribosomal RNA
Rfam family: Bacterial small subunit ribosomal RNA
Source: RNAcentral
GAUGAACGCUGGCGGCGUGCCUAAUACAUGCAAGUCGAGCGAACAGACGAGGAGCUUGCUCCUCUGACGUUAGCGGCGGACGGGUGAGUAACACGUGGAUCACCUACCUAUAAGACUGGGAUAACUUCGGGAAACCGGAGCUAAUACCGGAUAAUAUAUUGAACCGCAUGGUUCAAUAGUGAAAGACGGUUUUGCUGUCACUUAUAGAUGGAUCUGCGCCGCAUUAGCUAGUUGGUAAGGUAACGGCUUACCAAGGCAACGAUGCGUAGCCGACCUGUGAGGGUGAUAGGCCACACUGGAACUGAGACAGGGUCCAGACUCCUACGGGAGGCAGCAGUAGGGAAUCGUCCGCAAUGGGCGAAAGCUUGACGGAGCAACGCCGCGUGAGUGAUGAAGGUCUUCGGAUCGUAAAACUCUGUUAUUAGGGAAGAACAAAUGUGUAAGGAACUAUGCACGUCUUGACGGUACCUAAUCAGAAAGCCACGGCUAACUACGUG